ACUUCUGGUGCCACAUAAUCUCUAUUCUGCAUUUGCAAGUAUCCGACAUAGCUGCCAAGUUCUCCCCUUUUUUUAAGGGAAAUUCCCUUAUGCUGAAUAGGCUUCCUCACGAGAAAAGGGAAAACUUGGCAGCUAUGGUAUCCGGUCAUUUUGUGUUACACUUUGGAACUCCCUGCUUUUUUAUUUCAGGCAGGUGCUUUCACAGGACUCUUUUUGAUGCCAGCUGAAGACAUUCUUAUUUAGACAAGCCUAGCCAGAUGUUUAGAAAGCUUGAACCAAGAGCAUUGACCAAGGAGCCUAGAUGGCACAUCAAGAGACUGGCAUCUGACUGCAGCUCUCAGCUGAAAGUGUUCCCGUUCACACAAGCACCUGUGCAUUGCACUGAAUUGUACUGGAUUGACCAAGAAGAGUAAUCCCAUCAGCUUGAUUCAAGAAAAUUGUGAGGAUGCAGCCCCUCGUGCCCACUCCAUUUCCUCGUGAGGAAGGGGACGCUUCGGGCUCCAAGUCUACACAUCUCUACUCAGAAGUCCCAUUGAAUUCAGUGGGACUUACUCCAGGGUCCAACCUUCCAGAACAGGAGAAAAUGAGCUUGCUCCAUCUUCCAUGUGACAGCCCAUGUGACAUGGGCAUUUAAAGGCCAGGAUGAAGAUUUCAUAAGCAUAUCACUUGUGGGACAUCAUUCCAUAAUCUGCUGGCCACAGAUAAAAAGCUCUGGUCGUUGCCGCAGGUGUCUAGUCACAUUUGGUUCCAAAUGCUAGGGAAUCCAGAGAACAGCCCAUUCAAAAGACAAUCAGCAAAUGCCGAGAGUGACCACAGCUUACCAUGUGCCCUGCAUGCAGAAGGUCCUAGGCACAAUCCUUGGCAUCUCUAGGCAGUUCUUGGAAAGGCUCAAGACUGAAGCCCUGGGUAGAUGUAGCCAGGCAGUGGGGACCAAAAGGGAUUCUCCUUUGGCCCUGCAGGUAUGGCAGGACUCCACCGCCCUUCUUCAUUGACCAUUGACCAUGAUGGCCAGGACCAAGGAGAGGUGGAGUCCCAACAACAUCUGGAGAGCCACAGGCUAGCCAUGGCUGAUACAGACAACACUGAGAUACAGGGACAUGAUUACUAUUUUCCUCUAUAGAGGAUGUCAGACACUCAGAUCUGAGAAAUGCUGAAUACAUGCAUAGCAGGAAGGAUGACAAUGCUUGUCCUACCAGAUCAUCAGCCUGGCUGUUGCCAUCCUUCCUGCUAUGCAUGUAUUCAGCAUUUCUCAGAUCUGAGUGUCUGACAACAGACUACUGGAGUUCAGCAUAUUUUUGGAGCUUUGUAUCUGAGAGUUGUAUAGGACAUUCCCUGCUGAGUGAAGAAGCAGUAAUGAUAGCACACAUCUAUAAUUAUUUGCCAAUGGCUAUACUUAAGCCAAAGAUAUCAACUUUUGCCAUACUGAAAACAGUUGACUCAUUUCUGCAUCAUCAGUCUCUUUGCAAAGUUUGUCCUAUCGAACUGGUCUAUGUCAAACACUGAAGAUGGAAGGUGAGGAAAGAAAAACUAAUCUCCAGGAAAAACCACCCAAAUUCAAUUAGGAAUGCUUGGCGAGAGAGUAAUUAGCAUUGAACUGAAGAAUGGAUCCUAAGCUUUGACAGACCUAUGGUCUUAAUGUCAGAUGCAAAGCAAUACUAUGCACAGAGGUUGAUUUCUCACAGGAAGUGGUGGCCCAAAGGCUGGUGAGCUUAGCACAAUAUCUACUGAAAUGUAAGUGAUGGUUAACUAUAUUGAACCUUAAAGGCCCACAGGGAAGAGAUUGAAAGGGACUUCAGGAAUACAGCACUGCUGGAAUAAGGCAAUUUUUGAGAGAAACAGAUUCUAUUGUGAGAUUAUAAGAAGAAAAAGGUGAAUGAGUAAGAGGAGAUGUGUCAUUCACAGAUGGAACUACCUUUCCUCUUCUGAGAUACGGGGGGCCAGGAAACAAGGUGUCUACUCAAAGGAAUAGUCCAAAUGAGUUGAGCAUGUGAAAAAAAGUGCAGUGUGGGGGGAAAACACUGAGUGGCCACCUAAAGAACUCAGCACUUGCUGAAGCGAGAAGACAACUAUAAACCAUGACAAUGCCUGCUAAAAGGAUCACCGUCCACUGACAAAUUGACCAGACCAUUGCAGAUUGUCUGUUUUCUAUGCAUAUGUAUUCUUUCAAGUGAAGGUGGGCAGUCAUUAAGUCAGCAUCAAGCAAACCAUUGCCAUUUUCAGUUGAUUCAGUUCAAUCGAUUGUGGCAUCCCCUCCACUCCCAAAUACAGCUGGUGUCAAAUCUUAUGUGUCGUGUGGUGUCAGCUGAUGGCUUUCCUACUCACCCAGGCCAUUCAGGUGAACCGGGCGACCUGUUUAGUCUUUGUAUAAGUAGGCUGUUUUUUUGUCUGUGUGCUGCAUUUUUAUACAGUAAUGCUAUUUUACAGUGUUGUUCUGGUAAUGAAAAGCAGAUGAGAAAUAAUUUGUUUAAAUGAAUGAAUACAUUGUCAGGUCUCAAAA
This is a non-coding RNA of Zootoca vivipara (common lizard), 2497 nucleotides long. Lineage: Eukaryota; Metazoa; Chordata; Lepidosauria; Squamata; Lacertidae. The record is from RefSeq and is a predicted model, not a curated record.